GCCCGCCCCACUUCCCGCCCCUAGUCACGCCUCCUGGACGAGCCAACGGUCGCUCGCGAGGGACAAACAUCCUCCGAAAAGAAAAUGCCACUUGGAAUAUCACUGUUCAAUGGCUGGCCGGGGACAUUGCGUGUCGGACACUCAUGUUCCUGAAACUAAUGGCCAUGUAUGCUGCAGCCUUCCUGCCUGUGGUCAUUGGACUCCACCGCCAGGAAGCAGUACUCCACUCGCAUGGACCCCGCUCAGCUGGAAGGAAACUUCUGGAGAGAGCCUGAGGACUUAGCUUCCUGCUUGCCUUGCCCCAGCUGUUCCUGUUCCACACCGUCCACCAAGCUGGCCCAGUCUCCUUCAUCCAGUGUGUCACCAAAGGCAGUUUCAAGGCUCGAUGGCAAGAGACCACCGAUAACCUCUUCACCUUCUGUUGCCUCUUUCUGCUGCCAUGGACUGCCAUGAACGUCUGCUAUACCUGCACCGUUUUCAGUGGGUCCAGUUCCCGAUGAGGAAGGGGGACCACGUCUCCCCAGGGUUCCAGUUAGGAAGUGCCAUAAUGCCAAUCGCAACUAAUUUUCUUGAUCAACUCCUGCUCUAAUAACCAACGUGGAAGAAGAGGAAAGAAAAGAGAGAAAACAACUGUGAAUCUAUGGACAUCAAAGGUAGCAAACAGCAGCAACUUUGUGGGAGAGAGAGGAACACGGCCCUCACCAAAGAGGACAAAUAAUGUUUCCAAAGAGCAACAUGAAGGGAAGAGACAGAGUUGGGAAAUAUGUUUUCCCUCCUACCCAUUUCUGCAGACAGGAAGGUUUAAACACAGGGCUCAGUGAAGCUGGGUGAGCAGAGAGGAGUGAAGAGGGAAUAUUGGAAGAGGCUUCAAUGCUGAUCCCUUCUGGAGCAAGAACACACCCGGGAAGCUGAAUCAACAAGAAGUCACACAAGGUCAACCCAUAUUAUUUUGUGGCUUAUGAGAAGCAACAUGCCAACCAGUAGUUAAUCAUGGUGAAGCAAAGAACACAAAAUUUGGAUUUAAAAAAGAAAAGCUACAGAGAGGAAGGAAAAAGGCUGCUGCUCAUUCUAUAGUAUGUGUUCCUGAAAGAUCAUCCAUCCAUGAAGAAAACCACCAGGAGAAAUUUCACCUGCCAAACUUGCUGGGUAUGCCAAGAUUUCAAGGACUUGGCUGCUCUUUACUUGGGCCAUUUCUCAGGAUUGUGUUUGCAGCAAGAAACUCAAGG
This is a long non-coding RNA of Prionailurus viverrinus (fishing cat), 1226 nucleotides long. RefSeq lists it as uncharacterized. The record is from RefSeq and is a predicted model, not a curated record. The transcript is spliced from 7 exons. NCBI's taxonomy places the organism in Eukaryota, Metazoa, Chordata, Mammalia, Carnivora, Felidae.